This 514-nucleotide ribosomal RNA is filed under the name uncultured bacterium. RNAcentral describes it as "bacterial SSU rRNA". It matches the Rfam family "Bacterial small subunit ribosomal RNA", at positions 15 to 518 of the family's 1533-position model. The record is from RNAcentral.
GAUCAUGGCUCAGGAUGAACGCUAGCUACAGGCUUACCACAUGCAAGUCGAGGGGCAGCAUAUCGAAGCUUGCUUGAUAGAUGGCGACCGGCGCACGGGUGAGUAACGCGUAUCCAACCUUCCCCUUAGUAGGGCAUAGCCCGUAGAAAUGCGGAUUAAUACCCUAUGUUGUAUUAUGAGGACAUCUGAAAGAUACCAAAGGUUUACCGCUAAGGGAUGGGGAUGCGUCUGAUUAGGUUGUUGGCGGGGUAACGGCCCACCAAGCCUGCCGAUCAGUAGGGGUUCUGAGAGGAAGGUCCCCCACAUUGGAACUGAGACACGGUCCAAACUCCUACGGGAGGCAGCAGUGAGGAAUAUUGGUCAAUGGGCGAGAGCCUGAACCAGCCAAAGUAGCGUGCAGGAUGACGGCCCUAUGGGUUGUAAACUGCUUUUAUACAGGGAUAAAGUCGGGGACGUGUCCCCGUUUGUAGGUACUGUAUGAAUAAGGACCGGCUAAUUCCGUGCCAGCCGCCGC